AGAGUUUGAUCCUGGCUCAGGAUGAACGCUGGCGGCGUGCCUAACACAUGCAAGUCGAACGAAGCACCUACCGGAUUCUUUGGAUGAAAGUUUGGUGACUGAGUGGCGGACGGGUGAGUAACGCGUGGGUAACCUGCCCUGUACAGGGGGAUAACAGCUGGAAACGGCUGCUAAUACCGCAUAAGCGCACGAGGAGACAUCUCCUUGUGUGAAAAACUCCGGUGGUACAGGAUGGGCUUGCGUCUGAUUAGCUGGUUGGCAGGGUAACGGCCUACCAAGGCAACGAUCAGUAGCCGGUCUGAGAGGAUGAACGGCCACAUUGGAACUGAGACACGGUCCAAACUCCUACGGGAGGCAGCAGUGGGGAAUAUUGCACAAUGGGGGAAACCCUGAUGCAGCAACGCCGCGUGAGUGAAGAAGUAUUUCGGUAUGUAAAGCUCUAUCAGCAGGGAAGAUAAUGACGGUACCUGACUAAGAAGCUCCGGCUAAAUACGUGCCAGCAGCCGCGGUAAUACGUAUGGAGCAAGCGUUAUCCGGAUUUACUGGGUGUAAAGGGUGCGUAGGUGGCAGUGCAAGUCAGAUGUGAAAGGUCGGGGCUCAACCCCGGAGCUGCAUUUGAAACUGCUCGGCUAGAGUACAGGAGAGGCAGGCGGAAUUCCUAGUGUAGCGGUGAAAUGCGUAGAUAUUAGGAGGAACACCAGUGGCGAAGGCGGCCUGCUGGACUGUUACUGACACUGAGGCACGAAAGCGUGGGGAGCAAACAGGAUUAGAUACCUUGGUAGUCCACGCCGUA
Molecule: ribosomal RNA, 793 nt
Filed under: uncultured bacterium
Lineage: Bacteria
Description: bacterial SSU rRNA
Rfam family: Bacterial small subunit ribosomal RNA
Source: RNAcentral